ACGAACGCUGGCGGCGUGCUUAACACAUGCAAGUCGAACGGAAAGGCCCUGCUUUUGUGGGGUGCUCGAGUGGCGAACGGGUGAGUAACACGUGAGUAACCUGCCCUUGACUUUGGGAUAACUUCAGGAAACUGGGGCUAAUACCGGAUAGGAGCUCCUGCUGCAUGGUGGGGGUUGGAAAGUUUCGGCGGUUGGGGAUGGACUCGCGGCUUAUCAGCUUGUUGGUGGGGUAGUGGCUUACCAAGGCUUUGACGGGUAGCCGGCCUGAGAGGGUGACCGGCCACAUUGGGACUGAGAUACGGCCCAGACUCCGACGGGAGGCAGCAGUGGGGAAUAGUGCACAAUGGGCGGAAGCCUGAUGCAGCAACGCCGCGUGCGGGAUGACGGCCUUCGGGUUGUAAACCGCUUUCGCCUGUGACGAAGCGUGAGUGACGGUAAUGGGUAAAGAAGCACCGGCUAACUACGUG
RNAcentral lists this ribosomal RNA (467 nucleotides) under uncultured bacterium. RNAcentral's name for it is "partial 16S ribosomal RNA". It matches the Rfam family "Bacterial small subunit ribosomal RNA", at positions 29 to 507 of the family's 1533-position model. The record is from RNAcentral.